This 206-nucleotide long non-coding RNA is filed under the name Elaeis guineensis (African oil palm). RNAcentral's name for it is "long non-coding RNA (EGUI_LNC031451)". The record is from RNAcentral. Lineage: Eukaryota; Viridiplantae; Streptophyta; Magnoliopsida; Arecales; Arecaceae.
UCAGCGGGAAGCAUUGAGAGGAGAUGAUAAGAGAUGAGUGGAAGAGAAAAAUCGAGUAAAGGAGGAUGGGGCCAUAGAAAAAAAGAAAAUUUUUUUUUAUUGAAAUUUUGAGAUGAGAAAAAGAGAGAUGGGAGAUGAAAGAUUUGAAAAGUAAUAGGUAAAGAGAGUUCAGUGAGAUGGAGUAGUAAAAAAUAAAGAAGAAAAAA